UACGUAGGGGGCAAGCGUUGUCCGGAAUCAUUGGGCGUAAAGCGCGUGUAGGCGGCUUGGUAAGUCUGCUCUGAAAGCCCGGGGCUCAACCCCGGGAGGCGGGUGGAUACUGUCAAGCUCGAGUCCGGAAGAGGAGUGUGGAAUUCCUGGUGUAGCGGUGAAAUGCGCAGAAUAUCAGGAGGAACACCAAUGGCGAAGGCA
RNAcentral lists this ribosomal RNA (201 nucleotides) under uncultured bacterium. RNAcentral's name for it is "partial 16S ribosomal RNA". It matches the Rfam family "Bacterial small subunit ribosomal RNA", at positions 524 to 723 of the family's 1533-position model. The record is from RNAcentral.